Molecule: unclassified non-coding RNA, 318 nt
Filed under: uncultured Sistotrema
Lineage: Eukaryota; Fungi; Basidiomycota; Agaricomycetes; Corticiales; Corticiaceae
Description: sequence contains ITS2
Rfam family: 5.8S ribosomal RNA (bases 1-52)
Source: RNAcentral
AACGCACCUUGCGCUCCCUGGUAUUCCGGGGAGCAUGCCUGUUCGAGUGUCAUUACACUCUCAAGCCAGAUGGUUUCUUAUGAAUUCAUCUUGGUUUGGAUUUGGACUUUGCUGUGACUCUUGAAGGCAUAGCUGGUCUUAAAUAGAGUAGCUGGCCCAUUUGAAGGCUUGGUUCUACUUGGCGUGAUAAUUAUCUGGCGUCAAGGACAUUCUUUAGGGAGUGGCCAAUCUUUGUCUGGACUGCUUCUAACUGUCUUAGGACAAAUUUACUUACUGACAUCUGACCUCGAAUCAGGUAGGACUACCCGCUGAACUUAA